RNAcentral lists this long non-coding RNA (1795 nucleotides) under Pectinophora gossypiella (pink bollworm). RNAcentral describes it as "uncharacterized LOC126366849". The record is from RNAcentral. Lineage: Eukaryota; Metazoa; Arthropoda; Insecta; Lepidoptera; Gelechiidae.
GCUAAGACACCUAUAUAUAGCGUGGAUAAAAAUAUGGAACUUAGUUACAUAUUUCCUGUUGUUGAAGUGAGCACGCAUUGUUCUUAAAACCAAACAUAAUGAAGGUUGUGUUAUUCCUCGUUCUUGUUGGCGUUAUUUAUGCCUCGACUGCAAAAAUUAAGUGCUCACCACAUUCGAUUCCGGGUUGCAGGACUGACAACUGCGAUAGACAAUGUAAAGACUUCUUGAAUCCUCACCCUCCUACCUGCCCAGCUGACUCUUGCAGUUCGUGGAACGGAGGAUGUGACUGCGAUACGACCAACGGCUACUGGUACCACCCGGGCAAAGGACAAUGUGUCCCAUCCAGCGAAUGCUCUGAUGCUUAAACCUUAAACUUCCACUACUGUGUCGUUCGAACUAGGCCAGAAAUUAGCCGACUUUUCACCUGCACGACGAUUGUAUUAAUAUCUCAUCUUGACGAUUGAUUCGUCUUUAAUUUCCUGGUCUUAGUUCGUGUUUGAUACAGUGCCUUAAUGUGGACGAAGCAAUGCUGUUUACCGGAUUUAUUAAUAAAAAACUAAGUACUUACGGACAAUAUUUUCACUCUUUUAUUUUUCAAUCUUUGUUAUGGCACUACCCUGGUUCUUCACACAAACAACCUCGUAUUACACAGACACUACACAUUGACGUUAUCGUACACGCGCAUCUGUGUGUGACUUCUGAUGCCAUACGAUUUUAGAUUAAAGUAAAACCGCUGGUGGGCAGAAGAGAGUUGCCUUUCUAUAUAUAAUAUCGCGUUGUGGUAUAGAUUUAAAAGUAAUAAACUGUUUGAAUCCAAAUUACUUUUAUUUUUUAUGUGCAGUGCCUAAGUACCUAAGUACCUACUUACACGUGGCGUCUACAGUUACAUAGAAACGAUUAUAAUCUACUGAAGUCGAAGAUCAAGUCAAGUACUUAACGUUUUUAUUCCCAAUGCAGCCGUCAAUUACAUAUGCUAAUAAGUAUGUUGAAUGAGCAUGUAAAUAGCCGGAUUUUAUGAUGAUAAUUAUUGAUAAUUAUAUUUCUUUUAAUUAUUUAAAAAAUCAACAGUACCUAUGGCGCUUGCCAUACUACAGCUGCAUGUCUAAAAUAUAAUACUCUAAUAUAAUACAUGUGUAUGUAUCCACUUUAGGACUCUGUCGCACUAACAUAUUUGACAUUUAGUGAGACUUACAGUUCAAUUUGUCAAAAAAGUUAAUGUGACAUGGUACCAAAGUGUAUACAUAUUAAUGCUCGUGACCGUACAUUGUCAAUAACAUACGCCAUAUUCAGAAUAUAUAGCGUAGCUUAAAAAAAUACGAAACUUAGUUGAGACUUCCUGUUGGUGGAGUGAGCACAGAUAUCUAGUUACUAAAGCUAAACAUGAUGAAGAUUGUGAUAUUCCUCAUAGUCGUAGGUGUUGUUUAUGCUUCGGCUGAGGUUAAAUGCCCAGAAAAUUCAAUUCCAAGCUGCAGAACUGACAAUUGCGAUAGAAAAUGCUCAGACUUCUUAAAUCCACACGACUUUACAUGCCCACCAGAAAUAUGUAUAGCCGAGGGGGGCCUCCCCGGAUGUGACUGCGAUACGAGCAACGACUUUUGGUAUCACCCGGGCAAAGGAGAAUGUGUUCCUUCCAGCCAGUGUCAUGAUGCUUAAUUGACAAUGUGAUCCUGUGUCGUCCAAAGCUAGGCACAAGGACGCCUUCAAAGCUUUAGCGCGGCACGCGGCGGUAAGUCGCGAUAAAUAUUUUUCGCGACAUGUAUCGCGCGACCUGAACUCUUCACCUGCACGUCAAGGA